Molecule: ribosomal RNA, 1446 nt
Filed under: Staphylococcus aureus
Lineage: Bacteria; Bacillati; Bacillota; Bacilli; Caryophanales; Staphylococcaceae
Description: partial 23S ribosomal RNA
Rfam family: Bacterial large subunit ribosomal RNA
Source: RNAcentral
AGGAUAGGCGAAGCGUGCGAUUGGAUUGCACGUCUAAGCAGUAAGGCUGAGUAUUAGGCAAAUCCGGUACUCGUUAAGGCUGAGCUGUGAUGGGGAGAAGACAUUGUGUCUUCGAGUCGUUGAUUUCACACUGCCGAGAAAAGCCUCUAGAUAGAAAAUAGGUGCCCGUACCGCAAACCGACACAGGUAGUCAAGAUGAGAAUUCUAAGGUGAGCGAGCGAACUCUCGUUAAGGAACUCGGCAAAAUGACCCCGUAACUUCGGGAGAAGGGGUGCUCUUUAGGGUUAACGCCCAGAAGAGCCGCAGUGAAUAGGCCCAAGCGACUGUUUAUCAAAAACACAGGUCUCUGCUAAACCGUAAGGUGAUGUAUAGGGGCUGACGCCUGCCCGGUGCUGGAAGGUUAAGAGGAGUGGUUAGCUUCUGCGAAGCUACGAAUCGAAGCCCCAGUAAACGGCGGCCGUAACUAUAACGGUCCUAAGGUAGCGAAAUUCCUUGUCGGGUAAGUUCCGACCCGCACGAAAGGCGUAACGAUUUGGGCACUGUCUCAACGAGAGACUCGGUGAAAUCAUAGUACCUGUGAAGAUGCAGGUUACCCGCGACAGGACGGAAAGACCCCGUGGAGCUUUACUGUAGCCUGAUAUUGAAAUUCGGCACAGCUUGUACAGGAUAGGUAGGAGCCUUUGAAACGUGAGCGCUAGCUUACGUGGAGGCGCUGGUGGGAUACUACCCUAGCUGUGUUGGCUUUCUAACCCGCACCACUUAUCGUGGUGGGAGACAGUGUCAGGCGGGCAGUUUGACUGGGGCGGUCGCCUCCUAAAAGGUAACGGAGGCGCUCAAAGGUUCCCUCAGAAUGGUUGGAAAUCAUUCAUAGAGUGUAAAGGCAUAAGGGAGCUUGACUGCGAGACCUACAAGUCGAGCAGGGUCGAAAGACGGACUUAGUGAUCCGGUGGUUCCGCAUGGAAGGGCCAUCGCUCAACGGAUAAAAGCUACCCCGGGGAUAACAGGCUUAUCUCCCCCAAGAGUUCACAUCGACGGGGAGGUUUGGCACCUCGAUGUCGGCUCAUCGCAUCCUGGGGCUGUAGUCGGUCCCAAGGGUUGGGCUGUUCGCCCAUUAAAGCGGUACGCGAGCUGGGUUCAGAACGUCGUGAGACAGUUCGGUCCCUAUCCGUCGUGGGCGUAGGAAAUUUGAGAGGAGCUGUCCUUAGUACGAGAGGACCGGGAUGGACAUACCUCUGGUGUACCAGUUGUCGUGCCAACGGCAUAGCUGGGUAGCUAUGUGUGGACGGGAUAAGUGCUGAAAGCAUCUAAGCAUGAAGCCCCCCUCAAGAUGAGAUUUCCCAACUUCGGUUAUAAGAUCCCUCAAAGAUGAUGAGGUUAAUAGGUUCGAGGUGGAAGCAUGGUGACAUGUGGAGCUGACGAAUACUAAUCGAUCGAAGACUUAAUCAA